UGGAGGCAGCAGUGGGGAAUUUUGGACAAUGGGCGCAAGCCUGAUCCAGCCAUACCGCGUGAGUGAAGAAGGCCUUCGGGUUGUAAAGCUCUUUCAGCCGGAAAGAAAUCGUGCAACCUAAUACGUUGUAUGGAUGACGGUACCGGAAGAAGAAGCACCGGCUAACUACGUGCCAGCAGCCGCGGUGAUACGUAGGGUGCGAGCGUUAAUCGGAAUUACUGGGCGUAAAGCGUGCGCAGGCGGUUUUGUAAGACAGGCGUGAAAUCCCCGGGCUUAACCUGGGAACUGCGUUUGUGACUGCAAGGCUAGAGUGUAGCAGAGGGGGGUAGAAUUCCAUCUGUAGCAGUGAAAUGCGUAGAUAUGUGGAGGAAUACCGAUGGCGAAGGCAGCCCCCUGGGCUAACACUGACGCUCAUGCACGAAAGCGUGGGGAGCAAACAGGAUUAGAAACCCCAGUAGUCCG
Molecule: ribosomal RNA, 462 nt
Filed under: uncultured bacterium
Lineage: Bacteria
Description: bacterial SSU rRNA
Rfam family: Bacterial small subunit ribosomal RNA
Source: RNAcentral